GGAACUAUAAAUUAUAGUUCUCACGCCCUCUAUUUCAUAUUUCCUUUCAGAGCCUUCCACGCCGGGUGAAGCUAGGGGCCGCGGAAAGGGUAUUGCCUCGAGUUAGCUAACUGGCGAGGGACUUAUCGAUAAGUGGUCUAUCUCUCAUUAGUUUUAUUUUGGAGAGGUUGAGAGUUGUACCUGUGUAUAGAGACCACCUUUUUUUGUAUGUAUUUUGAGACGGUUGUUGCAUUACAUUAUGUUUUACUUUAGUUGAGUAGUUCUCUUUCUUCCAUUUCUGUUGAUAGAAUUAGUUGUAUACUCGCUCUGAUAUCUCUAGUUACUGUUUACUCUUAUCUUUCAUACCUCUUUAUUGUAAACGCCUUAUAUGUACAGGCAUAUGGCGGGUCUGGGCACGCACCGGGUGGGCCUAUGCCGGGUCCCGGGGCGUGACAAAGACGAAGAAGAAAAAUUGGAAGAGGGGAU
RNAcentral lists this long non-coding RNA (465 nucleotides) under Ananas comosus (pineapple). RNAcentral's name for it is "long non-coding RNA (ACOM_LNC008994)". The record is from RNAcentral. Lineage: Eukaryota; Viridiplantae; Streptophyta; Magnoliopsida; Poales; Bromeliaceae.